UUUCCGUAGGUGAACCUGCGGAAGGAUCAUUACCGUACAACAUGUGUGGGGCAUGCGAGGGCUGUCGCUGACCCAAAAGUCGUGUACGCCCCAGUGUGUCCUCUUGCAUAAUAAUCCAGCUCACCCUUUGUGCAUCACCGCGUGGGGACCCUUCGGGAUCAUCUCGGAGGGGGGCUCGCGUUUUCACACAAACCCCCCUUUUAAAAGUGUAUAAUGACCACAUUUAUGCAAUCAAUACAACUUUCAACAACGGAUCUCUUGGCUCUC
Molecule: unclassified non-coding RNA, 267 nt
Filed under: plant metagenome
Description: partial contains small subunit ribosomal RNA, internal transcribed spacer 1, and 5.8S ribosomal RNA
Source: RNAcentral